AUCCGGUCAUGUCUAGUAUAAGCAAUUAUACAGCGAAACUGCGAAUGGCUCAUUAUAUAAGUUAUCGUUUAUUUGAUAGUACCUUACUACUUGGAUAACCGUGGUAAUUCUAGAGCUAAUACAUGCUAAAAAUCCCGACUUCGGAAGGGAUGUAUUUAUUAGAUUAAAAACCAAUGCCCUCUGGGCUCUCUGGUGAUUCAUGAUAACUUCUCGAAUCGCAUGGCCUUGCGCCGGCGAUGGUUCAUUCAAAUUUCUUCCCUAUCAACUUUCGAUGUUUGGGUAUUGGCCAAACAUGGUCGCAACGGGUAACGGAGGGUUAGGGCUCGACCCCGGAGAAGGAGCCUGAGAAACGGCUACUACAUCCAAGGAAGGCAGCAGGCGCGCAAAUUACCCAAUCCCGACACGGGGAGGUAGUGACAAUAAAUACUGAUACAGGGCUCUUUCGGGUCUUGUAAUUGGAAUGAGUACAAUUUAAAUCCCUUAACGAGGAACAAUUGGAGGGCAAGUCUGGUGCCAGCAGCCGCGGUAAUUCCAGCUCCAAUAGCGUAUAUUAAAGUUGUUGUGGUUAAAAAGCUCGUAGUUGAACCUUGGGCCUGGCUGGCCGGUCCGCCUCACCGCGUGUACUGGUCCGGCCGGGCCUUUCCCUCUGUGGAACCUCAUGCCCUUCACUGGGCGUGACGGGGAAACAGGACUUUUACUGUGAAAAAAUUAGAGUGCUCCAGGCAGGCCUAUGCUCGAAUACAUUAGCAUGGAAUAAUGAAAUAGGACGUGCGGUUCUAUUUUGUUGGUUUCUAGGACCGCCGUAAUUGAUUAAUAGGGACAGUCGGGGGCAUCAGUAUUCAAUUGUCAGAGGUGAAAUUCUUGGAUUUAUUGAAGACUAACUACUGCGAAAAGCAUUUUGCCAAGGAUGUUUUCAUUAAUCAGAACCGAAAGUUAGGGGAUCGAAGACGAUCAGAUACCGUCGUAAUCUUAACAUAAACUAUGCUGAACUAAGGGAUCGGGACGAUGGUAAAUAAUUAGACUCGAUCGUCACCCUUAACG
RNAcentral lists this ribosomal RNA (1041 nucleotides) under Simplicillium sp. Its description in RNAcentral is "SSU rRNA". It matches the Rfam family "Eukaryotic small subunit ribosomal RNA", at positions 47 to 1094 of the family's 1831-position model. The record is from RNAcentral. Lineage: Eukaryota; Fungi; Ascomycota; Sordariomycetes; Hypocreales; Cordycipitaceae.